GCUACUUCUCGCUAAUUCCCCUUUGUUGUUGGUGCUUCCUUUGUUCUUGCUGCUCCCGCGCGCUAAUCUUCUUCUCCAUCUUCUCUGCUCUGCCCAAUAUUCAAUUUCUCUUCAAUUUGCAGUUAAACACUCGCACCAAUCUCGCAAUUAUCUUCACUCUACCUGCAAUGACCUUGACAAGAAGAACCACCAUUGCGCAGUUCUCUCCACUCGACCGGCAAUGACUUCAAUGGAGUUCGAUUUGGGGUUUUUCUUGGCCAUACAGUGAGAUCAACAGCAGAUAUUGCUCUGAGUCUGGUGGUGAAUGCUUGGCCAAGUCAAGGAGAUUGGUGAAGGUAAAAUUAUAAGCACGUAUACGAGAGACGAAGCUUUUUAGUGCAGCUGAGAAAGGACACCUUGAUGUGGUAAAAUAGCUGCUGAAGUAUGCCAAUAAGGAUACACUCACUCAGAAGAAUCACUCAUAGUUUGAUCCUUUGCAUGUUGCUGUUAAUCAGGGACACCUGCAAUCGUCCAAGUGUAAUUAGACCAUGAUGCAGAUGCAACCAUUAUUAUGCGAACAGACAAGUUUGGUAAUACAGCUUUGCAUGUGGCUACCAGAAAAAAGCGGGAAGAGGAAGGGUUGGAAACUUGUGAUGACCUACAACUUGAAGUGAUCCUCUCACGAAUAAAGAAUAAUCUGAAUGCACUGAAGAAGUAUACAUAUGAAAAGCAUAUUGUUGCUCGUAGAGGAGAUUCAGUUUGCAGACUCCCUACCCUGUUUUCAAUGGCGUAGAAGAGAAAGGUGUUGUACAACUAACCGAGGCUAGUUUGAAUGUGGCUCUCUACCCUUUUCUUUGUUUUAUGCCUGUUGUGGCUCCUGUCUAUUUAUUUGUCUUGUUCUUUAGCUGAAAAAUUUAUUUAAAAACCUUCGACUCGUGAAGACCCUGCAUCUGUAGUUAGUCUGAAUUUGCUUCCCUUUUAACUUUCAGCCUAUCUUUUUAUAUUAUGUUAUAGAUGACACAUGUGCUAUCACCCGUAGAUUGAGGGAAGAUGGGAGUCUUAUUGGUGUGCUGAGCACAUAAGAAACAAAAUCAGACAACCAACGACUCUUAGAAAUGGCUCGUUCUAGGACAUUGUCGGUGUUGAUUUGAUAAGUGGUGUUUCUUGCCAAGCACCUAAUGAAGGGGUCAACAAAAGUGAUGGUGAAUGGGAAUUUAAUACAAACGGCAGUAGGUCUGUACUGGGGAAACUUUUAAGUUUGUGUCAAGGGCAUUCAGUUGAGAGGACAUGCAACAUGAUAAAAGAUGUGAGGCUCUGCUACGAACCAGGUCAAAAGUCUACAGGCAGUUCAGGAGUGGCACCUGAUGCAAUGUUUUCAAAACUCCAAGGGAGGGGCCAUUUACCAAAGAGGAGUUGGAUGAAGUUCGAGACAAGUGGGCUACUUACUUCAACGAUUGUGAACUACCCUCAGUGUAAUAAAUAGAGCAGGCUUGUAGUUAUCCGUGACUCUUACCUUAUUUUGUUAUUUAUGGAUUUAAUUAAUUACAUUUGAAUUAAUUCGGUAAUAUUAUUGGAAAUUUAUAUAAUUUUUGAGGAAUGUCAAGCUGAUGUUUGGUGAAACA
Molecule: long non-coding RNA, 1601 nt
Organism: Spinacia oleracea (spinach)
Lineage: Eukaryota; Viridiplantae; Streptophyta; Magnoliopsida; Caryophyllales; Amaranthaceae
Exons: 8
Source: RefSeq, a predicted model, not a curated record